GAUGAAGAACGUAGUGAAAUGCGAUAAGUAAUGUGAAUUGAAGAAUUCAGUGAAUCAUCGAAUCUUUGAACGCACAUUGCGCCCGCCAGUAUUCUGGCGGGCAUGCCUGUUCGAGCGUCAUUUCAACCAUCAAGCCCCCGGCUUGUGUUGGGGACCUGCGGCUGCCGCAGGCCCUGAAAAGCAGUGGCGGGCUCGCUGUCACACCGAGCGUAGUAGCAUACAUCUCGCUCUGGGCGUGCUGCGGGUUCCGGCCGUUAAACCACCUUCAUAACCCAAGGUUGACCUCGGAUCAGGUAGGAAGACCCGCUGAACUUAAGCAUAUCAAUAAGCGGAGGA
RNAcentral lists this unclassified non-coding RNA (336 nucleotides) under soil metagenome. RNAcentral describes it as "partial contains 5.8S ribosomal RNA, internal transcribed spacer 2, and large subunit ribosomal RNA". The stretch from base 1 to 120 matches the Rfam family "5.8S ribosomal RNA", at positions 35 to 154 of the family's 154-position model. The record is from RNAcentral.